UUGACCUCGGAUCAGGUAGAAUACCGUGACUUAAGA
RNAcentral lists this ribosomal RNA (36 nucleotides) under Pestalotiopsis olivacea. Its description in RNAcentral is "partial 28S ribosomal RNA". The record is from RNAcentral. Lineage: Eukaryota; Fungi; Ascomycota; Sordariomycetes; Amphisphaeriales; Sporocadaceae.